UGGGGAAUAUUGCACAAUGGAGGGAACUCUGAUGCAGCGACGCCGCGUGAACGAAGAAGGCUUUCGAGUCGUAAAGUUCUUUUAUAUGGGAAGAUAAUGACGGUACCAUAAGAAGAAGCCCCGGCUAACUACGUGCCAGCAGCCGCGGUAAUACGUAGGGGGCUAGCGUUGUCCGGAAUCACUGGGCGUAAAGGGUUCGCAGGCGGAAAUGCAAGUCAGGUGUAAAAGGCAGUAGCUUAACUACUGUAAGCAUUUGAAACUGCAUAUCUUGAGAAGGGUAGAGGUAAGUGGAAUUUUUAGUGUAGCGGUGAAAUGCGUAGAUAUUAAAAAGAAUACCGGUGGCGAAGGCGACUUACUGGGCUCAUUCUGACGCUGAGGAACGAAAGCGUGGGUAGCAAACAGG
RNAcentral lists this ribosomal RNA (403 nucleotides) under bacterium. RNAcentral describes it as "partial 16S ribosomal RNA". It matches the Rfam family "Bacterial small subunit ribosomal RNA", at positions 355 to 776 of the family's 1533-position model. The record is from RNAcentral.